CACACACAUCAGAGAGAGGCUCACGGCAUUAUACACACACACAAUACUAGAAACAUGGCUGCUUAGCACACACACACACUGUCGUCCGAUUUUGACAGAUACCACUCGUUAAAGUUGCACCAGUCUGCGUGAGAAAGUGAGCAGAAGGUAACGAGAAAUCGGUGGCGAUUUGUGAGGGACUUGCGCGUUCGUACGGAGCCCGCGCUCUGUUAUCUUAUCGGGGCCUUGAUUUGGCUUCCAAGUUUAGAUUCGAUCGCGGCCCCCUCCCACAUCCUACUACUGCCCACUCGAUCACGACUCGCAACCGCCCAAUUUUUGUCGUCUGAGCUCCUUUGUGCUAUCGGCUCGUGUGGGAUAUUCGCGACGAAAAGGGGAGUGCAACCUUAGCAAUGACCACCAUAUCUCAAGUGUUGGCCAAUCUCUACGUCACCAUCAGUUGCUCAUAGGAGAAAUGCAGGUGCUCGGUCAGUGAUCCGCCUAAUACCCAAGAGUUUCCUCAUUCCAGUUCGCCAUGUCGGAAACCAAGAACAAGCUCAGCAAGGUGGCCAGGCUGAGGAAACGACUCAGUGACAGCUUGGGCAGGCUGGCCUCUCUGGCCAAAGAAGACUGGUCCAUCAGCCGAACAAGAUCUCAGACCAGACUCUCUCACAUGGGCUACCGCAAGGACCACAACGGACUCAGCAUGAGGGGCAAAGCAGGAUUCUCUGACGAGUAUCUGGACAAGCUGGACAGUGAAACCAGGGACUCGCUGCAGGAGAAUGGUGAUGCAUCUGGUGGCCAAGGUGAGCCAGACCUCCGAUGGGAGAGGCUACGACUAAGUGACGGAGAUUUGCUCAGCGCCAGCCGGGAUCCAGAAUUCGAAAAAUUGAAGGGUUCUGGUGGUGCCGAUUCCGGUUUGGGAAGUGACGAUGCGUGUGCUCAAGAUACCAGCAGCCGAAUUGCUACGGUUGGAGGUGAACAAGUGGUGCUGAGACGUAGUAAGAAAUCGUCCUCGUCCCACCUGAAACAGCGUCCCAAAUCGGAGGUUUACCGACACCAGCCCAUCGACCCUCACCUGGCCGGAGCCAGUGUCGUCCUACCCAGCGCAUCCGCCAUCAAUUUGAAACCCUCCGAGUCUAUUCGUCGCUCCAAAAGAUACUCAGCCUUCGGGGGAACCAGUCCGUUUGGCAAAAUCGAGAAUUACCUACGACUGGAGCAGCUAGGCGAAGGCUCUUACGCCACCGUCUACCGAGGAUUCAGCAAUUUGACUCAGCAAGUGGUGGCGCUGAAGGAAAUUCGUUUGCAGGAAGAAGAAGGUGCUCCAUUCACGGCCAUCCGUGAAGCUUCUCUACUUCGUGACCUGCGCCACGCCAACGUCGUCACCCUGCACGACAUUGUGCACACGAAAACGUCGCUAACGUUCGUCUUUGAAUACGUCCAUUCGGAUUUGGCUCAGUAUCUGGAGAGGCAUCCGGGCGGAUUGCAGGCUCACAACGUCCGUUUGUUCCUGUUUCAGCUCCUGCGUGGCCUCUCGUACGUCCACCGGCGCAAGAUCCUCCACCGGGAUCUCAAGCCGCAGAAUUUGCUCAUCAGCGAAGUCGGCGAACUCAAAUUGGCCGAUUUCGGGCUGGCCCGCGCCCAAUCGGUUCCGUCGCACACCUUCUCAAGCGAAGUCGUGACCCUCUGGUACCGGCCGCCUGAAGUCCUACUCGGCUCAACGCAAUACUCUUCGCCGCUGGACCUCUGGGGCGUUGGCUGCAUCUUUGUCGAGCUCCUGACGGGCAGUCCGGCAUUUCCAGGCGUCAAAGACGCUGCCGAUCAAUUGGAAAGAAUCUUCAAGAUUUUGGGGACGCCGACGGAAUCGACGUGGCCGGGCGUGUCCCGUCUGCCGCUCUACAAGCCGCAGCGCUUGAACUUUUACCGGACGCAGAGGCUGGGCCACGCGUUCCCUCGUCUCUACGACAUUAGCCAGGCCGAGAAUUUGGCCUCGAAACUGCUCCAAUUGCAGCCCAGCACCCGACUGACGGGCGAAACGGCCGUCCGGCACAAAUUCUUCCAGGAGCUGCCCUCGCAACUAUUUAACCUGUCUGACGACGUGUCCAUUUUCACGGUCCCGGGCGUCGGUCUCUACCCGGAAGAGCGGAAAUUCCCUCCUGUCGUUCUCAGAGCGGCCCAGGAGUUGAAAAACAAGGCCAAAUUUUAAUUAUUUUUUUAAAUAACUAAAACACAAAACUAAAAAAAAAAAAAUUAAGAAAAAGAAAAUUUCAGAAAUGAAAUUUUUAUUUUAAUUUCCUUCCUUCCUAUCUCGAAAUCCGUUCCAUAAUAGCCGCCAUACAUGCCAAUCCCGACACGACAAAAGAAAAGUCCUCCCGCACUAUCAAACGGUAUUAUAUAUUCACUCGCUUUAUAAGAGCGUCAAAGUGAAAAGAGACAACAAAAAAGUUAUUUUAUGGAUAACGGCAGAAAUCGAUUUGCCUCCAAGUGGUACACCCCUCGAUCUUUUUCCUGUGUAGAGCCAAUCUCCGUUUGUUUUUCCCUCCACCUUUUGUUGAUUUUGUGUUUUUAUUUCUUUAAGAGAUUGGCCAGUUUUCAUUUCCAUCUAGUAAAACACGUCCCUUCCUGUUUAAAUAGUUAAUUGACAAGCAAACAAUGAUUAAGGAAGCAAUACUGUGUAUCCCUUUUUUAUAUAAAAGCUCAGAUUCUUGUUUUGAAUGACCGGAAGACACGCCCCUAGCCCGCCAAUUUUGAAUUGGCUUCGAUUUUUGUUUUUCCCCCGCCCUUUUUUAAACAGACACCGCCGCCCCCUCCUAUCGACAAGGUUUCCAUUCACGAAACUUUCGACACACUAGAACUCUUAACAACAACAAUUUUUGAUGCCAAAACAACAUUAAUUCUUUUGCAUUGUCAUAUCGUUGCCAUUUUUACUGCUGUCCCCUCCGAAUUUUGUUCAAAAACAAAUUUAUUCGUCCACCACUACUAUAUUAAAUAAUAAUAAUAAUAAUAACUCCUACCCGUUUGUAACCGUCCUAUCACUUUUAACUGCAUUUGCUGUUGUCGACAUUUUUUCGUACCCGAUUGUCAAAACAAACAAAUUUCGUCCCAAAAUUGAAAACAAUUAUCCGGAAUACCCCAAAAAGAAAAGAGACAAGUUGAGAAAGAAGGCCACCAAUGCUUCCGCCUGCGUCUACUCACGAUAGACCUUGGCGAAUUCAUCCAUUGAUUGUUUGUUCCUCAGUGCUGUUAAUAUUGUUGAGCGAUGACUAUCGAAAAAAGAAAGAAAAAAAGUAAUUCAGAGAAUAACGACGAUUAUAUCCCGAAAGAAUUUAAAGAAGCUAAAAAAAAAUUUAAAAAAAUGUCACACAAAAUAAAUUCCAGCCGCAUCCGUCGAAGAAUUUGGGAAAUUUUAAAGAAAUUGUGUUUUUUUUUUUGCCAUCGUCGUUCGUCGUCCUCUUGUGUCAAGUGUCCGCGUUAUUGUCUUCUUAUAUCGACAUCCAAAUAAACAUCUUGUAUAACCUCAA
This 3497-nucleotide unclassified non-coding RNA is filed under the name Daphnia pulicaria. RNAcentral's name for it is "cyclin-dependent kinase 14-like, transcript variant X1". Lineage: Eukaryota; Metazoa; Arthropoda; Branchiopoda; Diplostraca; Daphniidae. The record is from RNAcentral.